Molecule: ribosomal RNA, 84 nt
Filed under: Acrotoma semicincta
Lineage: Eukaryota; Metazoa; Mollusca; Gastropoda; Stylommatophora; Clausiliidae
Description: partial 5.8S ribosomal RNA
Rfam family: 5.8S ribosomal RNA
About the family: 5.8S ribosomal RNA (5.8S rRNA) is a component of the large subunit of the eukaryotic ribosome. It is transcribed by RNA polymerase I as part of the 45S precursor that also contains 18S and 28S rRNA.
Source: RNAcentral
AUUGCAGAACACAUUGAACAUCGACACCUUGAACGCAUAAGGCGGCCUGGGGUCCAUCCCGAGGCCACGCCUGUCUGAGGGUCG